This 635-nucleotide ribosomal RNA is filed under the name Furcula furcula. Its description in RNAcentral is "eukaryotic LSU rRNA". It matches the Rfam family "Eukaryotic large subunit ribosomal RNA", at positions 412 to 796 of the family's 3401-position model. Lineage: Eukaryota; Metazoa; Arthropoda; Insecta; Lepidoptera; Notodontidae. The record is from RNAcentral.
GGGGUAAACCUGCGAAACUCGAAUGAACGAACGGAGAGAUUCAUCGUCACUCCUCGGCGUACGGUUGCGCGUUCGAUGUGUUCGGACCUCGGUCCGGAUGCACGUCGUGUCGUCGUUGACGUUCGAGGACGGCGUGCACUUCUCUCUCAGUAAACAUACAUCGCGACCCGUUCGAUGUCGGUCUAAGCGCUGUACGGGAGCCCCGUUGUCUACCCUCACGGGUGGGCGGCGGGACCGAUCGCGUGCGCCGACCGGCCGUCGGACGGUAUAGAUUAUGAAACGCGCACGCGUCUUAACGCGUCCGGCCCGACGCAAGUCAGUGUCGUAUCCGACGCUUCGCCCGAGUGCGAACGUAGGUGCGGCGCGUCUGUCGUCGCUGCCGUGCAGUCUCGGACUGUGCGCGUCUCCGUCUGCGAUGAUUCAGUUUCGGGCACUCGCAGGACCCGUCUUGAAACACGGACCAAGGAGUCUAGCAUGCGUGCGAGUCAUUGAGAUUUUUUCGAAUAAACUGAAAGGCGCAACGAAAGUGAAGGCGUGCGCUAGUCGCGCGCUCAGGGAGGAUGGAGCGUCGAUCCAGGUCGACCUCUCGCACUCCCGAGGCGUCUCGUUUCCAAUCCGUGAAUGCAGGCGCGCUC